AAAUAAAGAUGGAAAAAUCUAUUGCAACCAUCAAAAUGAAAGUUUUACACAAAUGGGGGAGAUAUUGGAAUACAGUAAGAUGAACCCAAAAGGCAUCAUUUUGUUGAGGCCAAAAAAUAUCCAGGUUUGAUUGCACUAGUUGAUGAAUGAAAACCUCCUUCUUCUCUUGCUUGUGUGUAGUCUGCCAGCCAAGGCUAGGAACUACACUAUACUUUUCUGUAAAAUACCA
RNAcentral lists this non-coding RNA (229 nucleotides) under Heterosigma akashiwo. Lineage: Eukaryota; Raphidophyceae; Chattonellales; Chattonellaceae. The record is from RNAcentral.